This 380-nucleotide ribosomal RNA is filed under the name uncultured eukaryote. RNAcentral describes it as "partial 18S ribosomal RNA". It matches the Rfam family "Eukaryotic small subunit ribosomal RNA", at positions 592 to 976 of the family's 1831-position model. The record is from RNAcentral.
UAAUAGCGUAUAUUAAAGUUGUUGCGGUUAAAAAGCUCGUAGUUGGAUUUCUGCUGAGGACGAUCGGUCCGCCCACUGGGUGAGUAUCUGGCUCGGCCUUGGCAUCUUCUUGGAGAACGUUGCUGCACUUGACUGUGUGGUGCGGUAUCCAGGACUUUUACUUUGAGGAAAUUAGAGUGUUUCAAGCAGGCGCACGCCUUGAAUACAUUAGCAUGGAAUAAUAAGAUAGGACCUUGGUUCUAUUUUGUUGGUUUCUAGAGCUGAGGUAAUGAUUAAUAGGGAUAGUUGGGGGCAUUCGUAUUUAACUGUCAGAGGUGAAAUUCUUGGAUUUGUCAAAGACGGACUACUGCGAAAGCAUUUGCCAAGGAUGUUUUCAUUGA